GGCAACUUGGCCGAGCGGUUAUGGCGCCAGUUUCAGGAAUUAUGUUCUACUGGUUCGAAAGAGCGUGGGUUCGAGUCCCACAGUUGUCA
RNAcentral lists this transfer RNA (89 nucleotides) under Blumeria graminis f. sp. tritici. It matches the Rfam family "tRNA". Rfam says of the family: Transfer RNA (tRNA) molecules are approximately 80 nucleotides in length. Their secondary structure includes four short double-helical elements and three loops (D, anti-codon, and T loops). RNAcentral also lists the same sequence under 1 other name. The record is from Rfam by way of RNAcentral. Lineage: Eukaryota; Fungi; Ascomycota; Leotiomycetes; Helotiales; Erysiphaceae.